RNAcentral lists this ribosomal RNA (557 nucleotides) under uncultured bacterium. Its description in RNAcentral is "bacterial SSU rRNA". It matches the Rfam family "Bacterial small subunit ribosomal RNA", at positions 273 to 847 of the family's 1533-position model. The record is from RNAcentral.
GCGACGAUCAGUAGCCGGCUUGAGAGAGUGAACGGCCACAUUGGGACUGAGACACGGCCCAAACUCCUACGGGAGGCAGCAGUGGGGAAUAUUGCACAAUGGGGGGAACCCUGAUGCAGCGACGCCGCGUGAGUGAAGAAGUAUUUCGGUAUGUAAAGCUCUAUCAGCAGGGAAGAAAAUGACGGUACCUGACUAAGAAGCCCCGGCUAACUACGUGCCAGCAGCCGCGGUAAUACGUAGGGGGCAAGCGUUAUCCGGAAUUACUGGGUGUAAAGGGUGCGUAGGUGGUAUGGCAAGUCAGAAGUGAAAACCCAGGGCUUAACUCUGGGACUGCUUUUGAAACUGUCAGACUGGAGUGCAGGAGAGGUAAGCGGAAUUCCUAGUGUAGCGGUGAAAUGCGUAGAUAUUAGGAGGAACAUCAGUGGCGAAGGCGGCUUACUGGACUGAAACUGACACUGAGGCACGAAAGCGUGGGGAGCAAACAGGAUUAGAUCCCCUGGUAGUCCACGCCGUAAACGAUGAAUACUAGGUGUCGGGGCCGUAGAGGCUUCGGUGCC